GAUUAANCCUGCAUGUCUAAGUAUAAGCAAUCUAUACUGUGAAACUGCGAAUGGCUCAUUAAAUCAGUUAUCGUUUAUUUGAUAGUACCUUACUACAUGGAUACCUGUGGUAAUUCUAGAGCUAAUACAUGCUAAAAACCCCGACUUCGGGAGGGGUGUAUUUAUUAGAUAAAAAACCAAUGCCCCUCGGGGCUCCUUGGUGAUUCAUAAUAACUUAACGAAUCGCAUGGCCUUGCGCCGGCGAUGGUUCAUUCAAAUUUCUGCCCUAUCAACUUUCGAUGGUAGGAUAGUGGCCUACCAUGGUGGCAACGGGUAACGGGGAAUUAGGGUUCGAUUCCGGAGAGGGAGCCUGAGAAACGGCUACCACAUCCAAGGAAGGCAGCAGGCGCGCAAAUUACCCAAUCCCGACACGGGGAGGUAGUGACAAUAAAUACUGAUACGGGGCUCUUUUGGGUCUCGUAAUUGGAAUGAGAACAAUUUAAAUCCCUUAACGAGGAACAAUUGGAGGGCAAGUCUGGUGCCAGCAGCCGCGGUAAUUCCAGCUCCAAUAGCGUAUAUUAAAGUUGUUGCAGUUAAAAAGCUCGUAGUUGAACCUUGGGUCUGGCUGGCCGGUCCGCCUCACCGCGAGUACUGGUCCGGCUGGACCUUUCCUUCUGGGGAACCCCAUGGCCUUCACUGGCUGUGGGGGGAACCAGGACUUUUACUGUGAAAAAAUUAGAGUGUUCAAAGCAGGCCUUUGCUCGGAUACAUUAGCAUGGAAUAAUAGAAUAGGACGUGCGGUUCUAUUUUGUUGGUUUCUAGGACCGCCGUAAUGAUUAAUAGGGAUAGUCGGGGGCGUCAGUAUUCAGCUGUCAGAGGUGAAAUUCUUGGAUUUGCUGAAGACUAACUACUGCGAAAGCAUUCGCCAAGGAUGUUUUCAUUAAUCAGGGAACGAAAGUUAGGGGAUCGAAGACGAUCAGAUACCGUCGUAGUCUUAACCAUAAACUAUGCCGACUAGGGAUCGGGCGGCGUUUCUUUUAUGACCCGCUCGGCACCUUACGAGAAAUCAAAGUUUUUG
This 1057-nucleotide ribosomal RNA is filed under the name Aspergillus nidulans. RNAcentral's name for it is "SSU rRNA". It matches the Rfam family "Eukaryotic small subunit ribosomal RNA", at positions 42 to 1109 of the family's 1831-position model. The record is from RNAcentral. Lineage: Eukaryota; Fungi; Ascomycota; Eurotiomycetes; Eurotiales; Aspergillaceae.